UCUGACUNGAGUGCAGAAGGGGAGAGUGGAAUUCCAUGUGUAGCGGUGAAAUGCGUAGAUAUAUGGAGGAACACCAGUGGCGAAAGCGGCUCUCUGGUCUGUCACUGACGCUGAGGCUCGAAAGCGUGGGUAGCGAACAGGAUUAGAUACCCUGGUAGUCCACGCCGUAAACGAUGAGUGCUAGGUGUUAGGCCCUUUCCGGGGCUUAGUGCCGGAGCUAACGCAAUAAGCACUCCGCCUGGGGAGUACGACCGCAAGGUUGAAACUCAAAGGAAUUGACGGGGGCCCGCACAAGCGGUGGAGCAUGUGGUUUAAUUCGAAGCAACGCGAAGAACCUUACCAGGUCUUGACAUCCCGAUGCUAUUCUUAGAGAUAGGAAGUUACUUCGGUACAUCGGAGACAGGUGGUGCAUGGUUGUCGUCAGCUCGUGUCGUGAGAUGUUGGGUUAAGUCCCGCAACGAGCGCAACCCUUAUUGUUAGUUGCCAUCAUUAAGUUGGGCACUCUAGCGAGACUGCCGGUAAUAAACCGGAGGAAGGUGGGGAUGACGUCAAAUCAUCAUGCCCCUUAUGACCUGGGCUACACACGUGCUACGAUGGUCGGUACAACGAGUUGCGAGCCGGUGACGGCAAGCUAAUCUCUGAAAGCCGAUCUCAGUUCGGGUUGGAGGCUGCAACUCGCCUCCAUGAAGUCGGAAUCGCUAGUAAUCGCGGAUCAGCACGCCGCGGUGAAUACGUUCCCGGGCCUUGUACACACCGCCCGUCACACCACGAGAGUUUGUAACACCCGAAGUCGGUG
This 796-nucleotide ribosomal RNA is filed under the name uncultured bacterium. RNAcentral describes it as "bacterial SSU rRNA". It matches the Rfam family "Bacterial small subunit ribosomal RNA", at positions 636 to 1432 of the family's 1533-position model. The record is from RNAcentral.